AGGUGCUGCAUGGCUGUCGUCAGCUCGUGUCGUGAGACGUUGGGUUAAGUCCCGCAACGAGCGCAACCCUCGCCAUUAGUUGCCAUCAUUUAGUUGGGCACUCUAAUGGGACUGCCGGUGUCAAACCGGAGGAAGGUGGGGAUGACGUCAAGUCCUCAUGGCCUUUAUGACCAGGGCUACACACGUACUACAAUGGCCGAUACAAAGGGCAGCCAUGGUGCGAACUGGAGCAAAUCCCUUAAAGUCGGUCUCAGUCCGGAUCGGAGUCUGCAACUCGACUCCGCGAAGUUGGAAUCGCUAGUAAUCGUGGAUCAGCAUGCCACGGUGAAUACGUUCCCGGGCCUUGUACACACCGCCCGUCACACCACGGAAGUUGGUUGUACCAGAAGUAGUUGAGCGAACCUUCGGGGCGCAGACUACCAAGGUAUGGCUGGUAACUGGGGUGAAGUCGUAACAAGGUA
RNAcentral lists this ribosomal RNA (461 nucleotides) under uncultured bacterium. RNAcentral's name for it is "bacterial SSU rRNA". It matches the Rfam family "Bacterial small subunit ribosomal RNA", at positions 1036 to 1498 of the family's 1533-position model. The record is from RNAcentral.